AUACAGAGACUGCGAGCGUUAUUCGGAUUCACUGGGCGUAAAGGGUGCGCAGGCGGCCGAGUGUGUGAGGCGUGAAAGCCCGGGGCUUAACCCCGGAAUUGCACCUCAAACUACACGGCUAGAGCAUUGGAGAGGGUAGCAGAAUUCAUGGUGUAGCAGUGAAAUGCGUAGAUAUCAUGAGGAAUACCUGAGGCGAAGGCGGCUACCUGGACAAUUGCUGACGCUCAGGCACGAAAGCGUGGGGAGCAAAAGGGA
RNAcentral lists this ribosomal RNA (255 nucleotides) under uncultured prokaryote. RNAcentral describes it as "partial 16S ribosomal RNA". It matches the Rfam family "Bacterial small subunit ribosomal RNA", at positions 523 to 777 of the family's 1533-position model. The record is from RNAcentral.